Non-coding RNA from Pelobates cultripes (western spadefoot toad), 130 nucleotides. NCBI's taxonomy places the organism in Eukaryota, Metazoa, Chordata, Amphibia, Anura, Pelobatidae. The record is from the annotation of a GenBank genome assembly.
UGCAGGGUUAACUCCACCUCUAGUGGCUGUCUACAAUAUAUAUAUAUAUAUAUAUAUAUAUAUAUAUAUAUAUAUAUAUAUAUAUAUAUAUAUAUUGUAGACAGCCACUAGAGGUGGAGUUAACCCUGCA